Molecule: RNA transcript, 1705 nt
Organism: Durio zibethinus
Lineage: Eukaryota; Viridiplantae; Streptophyta; Magnoliopsida; Malvales; Malvaceae
Gene name: mediator of RNA polymerase II transcription subunit 6-like
Source: RefSeq, a predicted model, not a curated record
GAAGAGCAUAAUGAUUGAUGACUUCUUUCUGACUAAAACCGCCAAAUAGAACCACCUCGAAAAGCAUAGCCCCAAAUUGGCGACGCCAGCGGUGGCGCCACCGCAGAAGGCGGCAGGCGGGAAUUUUGAACCACCACCGCCAGCGGUGAUACAGCCUCCUGGAACGGACAUGACAAGCAUAUGUUUCAGAGACCAAUUGUGGCUAAACACGUACCCUCUUGAUCGAAACUUGAUCUUCGAUUACUUUGCUCUAUCUCCGUUCUAUGAUUGGACCUGCAACAAUGAGCAGCUAAGGAUGCGCUCCGUUCACCCUCUCGACAUCUCUCAACUCUCGAAAAUGACUGGCAUAGAAUAAACGAUUAGUGAAGUCAUGGAGCCACACCUCUUCAUUAUCCGUAAGCAAAAGAGGGAUAGUCCAGAUAAAGUCACGCUGAUGCUGGCAUAUUAUAUAUUAGAUGGUUCUAUUUACCAAGCACCACAGCUUUGUAAUGUCUUUGCAGCUCGAGUUAUACUAUUAUGCACAUAUCAUCUUUUGGAUAUUUAUUGAUAACUUACCAAUGUGACGGGGACAUGCUCUAUAUUAUAUAGCAAAAGCUUUUACCGCUGCUGCAUCAAAAUUGGAGAAGAUUGGAUAUGAUACCACCAGCCCCUCUGCCACCCCCAUUUCCUGACGGAUUUAUUCCCCCUAAAACAACAGAAGUAGAGAAAGACCCAGAAAACCAGCAAGAAGUAGAACCACAACCUCCUGUUGUUGAUCCCAUCAUUGAUCAGGGUCCAGCUAAGAGAACGAAAUUUUGAAGUAGAAUAGCCGCCUCCUUGUUUUUUUCCUAUUUCAAUAGAGCAUUAGAACUUUUUUAGACUUUUAUUGGCCGCUAGCUGAGAGAAGGGAUCUAAUGUAAUGAGAAUACGUUGAAUUAUUAGCAAAUCUCUUCCAGUGUAAUUAUGUAACAAAAUGAUUUUUUCUUACCAAGAUGUGAUUUGUUCUCCAUGUUUCUCAUCUUUGGCUACGUUUGGAUAUGGUUCAGACGAGUUGCAAGUUACCUCCAGUUUUAUAUAUUGCAGUCGGGUAACCUCUAUUGCCAUUUGUCAAUGAUAGAGAGCCACAGCAGCCAUGGGCUCAUUUUCAUAAUUUUUUUUUUCAUUUUUGGUUUUAUUAUAGAUAUGAUCUAUGAAAUGUGGAAAUAUUCACUGGUUCAAAAACGGGGCGGUUGCUAAGAUGUUGCCAAAUUUGCAUAGCAAUCAUGAGGGUGUUUCUAAUCGCCUCUUUUCAUGGGACCAAAAGAAGAUCAGGGCAAAACUUGACGUUAUCAGACAUCCGAAAUCUGAGGUACAUGAUGAUGAAAGGAGACAAUUCUACUUAUGGGCAACAAAAUGAGACAAUUCCUUCCACCAGGGGUCACGGCCAACAACGGAAUGCAAAGCUUUAGGCAAUUCCUGAUUUCCUGUUCACUUAUAUUGGCAAAGCCUGAAAUCACACCAGAACAUUUAUCAGUUUAAAUAUGCGGCAUGUAAAUUUAUAAAGCGGAGACCAACAAACUAUUACUUGAUGAAUAUGUUUUGAGGGUCAAGUUGAUUUUCAUGACUUGAACCAUGGUGCUGAAAAGUAGUUGCUUAUUUCCUUGCCACUGCUGAAAGCAAAUUCUAUAAUUUCAACAAGUGUACUACUUAACUGGUAAAAGUCAUUGGUUUUAGAUUAUUAUAAUUU